This 253-nucleotide ribosomal RNA is filed under the name uncultured bacterium. RNAcentral's name for it is "partial 16S ribosomal RNA". It matches the Rfam family "Bacterial small subunit ribosomal RNA", at positions 524 to 776 of the family's 1533-position model. The record is from RNAcentral.
UACAGAGGGGGCAAGCGUUGUUCGGAAUUACUGGGCGUAAAGGGCGCGUAGGCGGCCUUGUAAGUCCUGUGUGAAAUCCCCCGGCUCAACUGGGGAACUGCACAGGAGACUGCUUGGCUUGAGUUCGGGAGAGGGAAGCGGAAUUCCGGGUGUAGCGGUGAAAUGCGUAGAUAUCCGGAGGAACACCGGUGGCGAAGGCGGCUUCCUGGACCGACACUGACGCUGAGGCGCGAAAGCCAGGGGAGCAAACGGG